This 683-nucleotide ribosomal RNA is filed under the name uncultured bacterium. RNAcentral describes it as "bacterial SSU rRNA". It matches the Rfam family "Bacterial small subunit ribosomal RNA", at positions 104 to 805 of the family's 1533-position model. The record is from RNAcentral.
GGGUGAGUAACGCGUGGGUAACCUGCCUCACACAGGGGGAUAACAGUUGGAAACGACCGCUAAUACCGCAUAAGCCGGAAGGAUCGCAUGAUUCGGCCGGAAAAGAUUUAUCGGUGUGAGAUGGACCCGCGUCUGAUUAGCCAGUUGGCAGGGUAACGGCCUACCAAAGCGACGAUCAGUAGCCGGCCUGAGAGGGUGAACGGCCACAUUGGGACUGAGACACGGCCCAAACUCCUACGGGAGGCAGCAGUGGGGAAUAUUGCACAAUGGGGGAAACCCUGAUGCAGCGACGCCGCGUGAGUGAAGAAGUAUUUCGGUAUGUAAAGCUCUAUCAGCAGGGAAGAAAAUGACGGUACCUGACUAAGAAGCCCCGGCUAACUACGUGCCAGCAGCCGCGGUAAUACGUAGGGGGCAAGCGUUAUCCGGAUUUACUGGGUGUAAAGGGAGCGUAGACGGCCAGACAAGUCAGAAGUGAAAGCCCAGGGCUCAACUCUGGGACUGCUUUUGAAACUGCCGGGCUGGAGUGCAGGAGAGGUAAGCGGAAUUCCUAGUGUAGCGGUGAAAUGCGUAGAUAUUAGGAGGAACACCAGUGGCGAAGGCGGCUUACUGGACUGUAACUGACGUUGAGGCUCGAAAGCGUGGGGAGCAAACAGGAUUAGAUACCCUGGUAGUCCACGCCGUAA